AAGGAAGGUUGGUAAUGAUUUUGGGAGUUUUGGUCCCAACAGUUUAGGAAUAAGGGGCCCAAAAGGUCCAAAAUUAAACUUUGUUUGAUUUCAUCAAAAUUGAAUAAUUGGGGUUCUUUGAUAUGCCGAAUCUAACUGUGUAUGUAGAUUUUUAACUUUUGGUCCCGUUUUCAAAUUGGUCUACAUUAAGGUCCAAAGGGUCCAAAAUUAAACUUCGUUUGAUUUUGACAAAAAAUUAAUCGGUUGGGUUCUUUGGUAUGCUGAAUCUAAAAAUGUACUUAGAUUCUUGAUUAUCGGCCCAGUUUUCAAGUUGGUCCAAAUCGGGGUCCAAAAUUAAACUUUGUUUGAUUUCAUCAAAAAUUGAAUAAAUGGGGUUCUUUGAUAUGCCAAAUCUAACUGUGUAUGUAGAUUCCUCAUUUUUGGUCUUGUUUUCAAAUUGGUCUACAUUAAAGUCCAAAGGGUCCAAAAUUAAACUUAGUUUGAUUUUUACAAAAAUUGAAAUCUUGGGGUUCUUUGAUAUGCUGAAUCCAAACAUGUACUUAGAUUUUUGAUUAUGGGCCCAGUUUUCAAGUUGGUCCAAAUCAGGAUCUAAAAUUAUUAUAUUAAGUUUUGUGCAAUAGCAAGUCUUUUCAAUUGCACAGUAUUGCGCAAUGGCAAGAAAUAUCUUAUUGCAAAAUAUUGUGAAAUAGCAAUUUUGUUUUUAAUUAGAGUUAUCUUUCUUUGUCCAGAAUAGUAAGCAAGAAAUAUCUAAUUGCACAAUAUUGUGCAAUAGCAAAAACUUUUUUAAUUGGAGUUAUCUUUCUUUGUCCAGAAUCAACUUAAAUCUUUGUUAUAUAUACAAUAUACAAUGUAUAUUCGCUAUUUACUAAUGUAUUAUAUGUCUCUGUACCAACUGAUAAAUUAAAAUAAUCUUUACCAUUCAGUGAUAACAAGCAGUUUUUUUACAUCUUAAUAUUUUAUGAUGUAUUUAAAUGAGUAGUAAUU
This 984-nucleotide long non-coding RNA is filed under the name Mytilus galloprovincialis (Mediterranean mussel). Lineage: Eukaryota; Metazoa; Mollusca; Bivalvia; Mytilida; Mytilidae. The record is from RNAcentral.